Molecule: long non-coding RNA, 469 nt
Filed under: Coffea arabica (coffee)
Lineage: Eukaryota; Viridiplantae; Streptophyta; Magnoliopsida; Gentianales; Rubiaceae
Description: long non-coding RNA (CARA_LNC007641)
Source: RNAcentral
GAUCUGUUAUAACUCAAGGGCUCUUUUUCUUUUAGAGGGAACUUAAGGCAUAUGUUGGAACAUGCAUAAGCAUUCUGUUGUAUGUUUUAUGGUCCUAAUCAAUUCAUUUACUACAUUCAGUUGAUACAAGAUAUUCUGCGAAGUGGAAGAAUGCUGACGGUUUGUUCGUCUUUCUUUUUAUCUUCAUGUAUUCAGGAACAAGGCCUUAUUCACCGGUAAAAUUUCUAAUUUGUUUGGGUUUUUCUUUUACCCUGAAUCAGAAGAGUUGUUAGUGACUUGGGUAGGUUACUGGUAACUGGUUGAACAUACCCUUAAUUCUCUUGUCCAAAUUAUUUGGAAUUCGGCAUUGUGGCUUUGAUUUUUGUACAACAAUCAAAUCGCUAAUGAUUUGAGGCUGUAACAAAUUACAAUUAGGUUGAUUCCAGUUAUUAAUAACCCAUGGUUAUUUACUACAAAAAAAAAAAAAAAA